UUGGCCCUGUUAAUGGAAGACAUGCUUACAUACCUUUCCAUAGGAUUAAUGAGAAACAGAAUAAGGUUUAACUGACAGAAUGUGGGCAAGACUACUAUGUUCAACCAAUCAGCCAAGUUUUCUAAAUGCUGCAGAUAGUUUUGAAGAUGAUCAUGAAGAAAAUGAAACAGAAAUCCAUGCUGAAAAUGGGGAAAGCGAACCAAACGGCUAUAAUGGUCAAAGCUUAAUAAGCUGAGAGAGACUGCCUCUAGUCUAGACAGAUCACAAAAAGUGUUGAAUUUCAUUUUCGUUUGAACAACAUGCUAAAUAAUGUGUCAUAAGGUUUUCAAAUGAAUAUACUGUAGUCUGUAUCAUUAGAAUCCUCUUUUAAGAUUAUCAUUUUCUAUGGUUUUCUAUUUUA
Cannabis sativa is the source of this 400-nucleotide long non-coding RNA. RefSeq lists it as uncharacterized. The transcript has 2 exons. The record is from RefSeq and is a predicted model, not a curated record. NCBI's taxonomy places the organism in Eukaryota, Viridiplantae, Streptophyta, Magnoliopsida, Rosales, Cannabaceae.